RNAcentral lists this transfer RNA (71 nucleotides) under Loxodonta africana (African savanna elephant). It matches the Rfam family "tRNA". Rfam says of the family: Transfer RNA (tRNA) molecules are approximately 80 nucleotides in length. Their secondary structure includes four short double-helical elements and three loops (D, anti-codon, and T loops). Further hydrogen bonds mediate the characteristic L-shaped molecular structure. tRNAs have two regions of fundamental functional importance: the anti-codon, which is responsible for specific mRNA codon recognition, and the 3' end, to which the tRNAs corresponding amino acid is attached (by aminoacyl-tRNA synthetases). tRNAs cope with the degeneracy of the genetic code in two manners: having more than one tRNA (with a specific anti-codon) for a particular amino acid; and 'wobble' base-pairing, i.e. permitting non-standard base-pairing at the 3rd anti-codon position. The record is from Rfam by way of RNAcentral. Lineage: Eukaryota; Metazoa; Chordata; Mammalia; Proboscidea; Elephantidae.
GCAGUGGUAGUUUAGUGUUAGAAUUCUCACUUUCCAUGUGGGAGACCCAGGUUCAAUUCCUGGCUAGUGUA